CUUCGGAUGCUGACGAGUGGCGAACGGGUGAGUAAUACAUCGGAACGUGCCCGAGAGUGGGGGAUAACGAAGCGAAAGCUUUGCUAAUACCGCAUACGAUCUCAGGAUGAAAGCAGGGGACCGCAAGGCCUUGCGCUCACGGAGCGGCCGAUGGCAGAUUAGGUAGUUGGUGGGAUAAAAGCUUACCAAGCCGACGAUCUGUAGCUGGUCUGAGAGGACGACCAGCCACACUGGGACUGAGACACGGCCCAGACUCCUACGGGAGGCAGCAGUGGGGAAUUUUGGACAAUGGGCGCAAGCCUGAUCCAGCCAUGCCGCGUGCAGGAUGAAGGCCUUCGGGUUGUAAACUGCUUUUGUACGGAACGAAAAGACUCUGGUUAAUACCUGGGGUCCAUGACGGUACCGUAAGAAUAAGCACCGGCUAACUACGUGCCAGCAGCCGCGGUAAUACGUAGGGUGCGAGCGUUAAUCGGAAUUACUGGGCGUAAAGCGUGCGCAGGCGGUUAUGUAAGACAGAUGUGAAAUCCCCGGGCUCAACCUGGGAACUGCAUUUGUGACUGCAUAGCUAGAGUACGGCAGAGGGGGAUGGAAUUCCGCGUGUAGCAGUGAAAUGCGUAGAUAUGCGGAGGAACACCGAUGGCGAAGGCAAUCCCCUGGGCCUGUACUGACGCUCAUGCACGAAAGCGUGGGGAGCAAACAGGAUUA
Molecule: ribosomal RNA, 705 nt
Filed under: uncultured beta proteobacterium
Lineage: Bacteria; Pseudomonadati; Pseudomonadota; Betaproteobacteria
Description: bacterial SSU rRNA
Rfam family: Bacterial small subunit ribosomal RNA
Source: RNAcentral